RNAcentral lists this unclassified non-coding RNA (379 nucleotides) under uncultured Oligoflexales bacterium. RNAcentral's name for it is "contains 16S-23S intergenic spacer region". Lineage: Bacteria; Pseudomonadati; Bdellovibrionota; Oligoflexia; Oligoflexales. The record is from RNAcentral.
UCCGUGUUAACCACGGCAGUCUCUUUAGAGUGCCCAACUGAAUGCUGGCAACUAAAGACAAGGGUUGCGCUCGUUGCGGGACUUAACCCAACAUGUCACCACACGAGCUGACGACAGCCAUGCAGCACCUGUCUUCCUGCUUACUUGCGUAAGAAGCCGUAUCUCUACGGUUGUCAGGAGAUGUCAAACCCAGGUAAGGUUUUUCGCGUUGCUUCGAAUUAAACCACAUGAUCCACCGCUUGUGCGGGCCCCCGUCAAUUCCUUUGAGUUUUAGUCUUGCGACCGUACUUCCCAGGCGGGGUACUUAGUGCGUUAGCUCCGGCUCGGCAGGGGUCAAGACCCGCCAAGCCUAGUACCCAUCGUUUACAGCGUGGACUAC